Molecule: ribosomal RNA, 458 nt
Filed under: uncultured bacterium
Lineage: Bacteria
Description: partial 16S ribosomal RNA
Rfam family: Bacterial small subunit ribosomal RNA
Source: RNAcentral
CCUACGGGAGGCAGCAGUGAGGAAUAUUGGUCAAUGGGCGAGAGCCUGAACCAGCCAAGUCGCGUGAGGGAGUACUGCCCUAUGGGUUGUAAACCUCUUUUGUCGGGGAGCAAAAGCCGGACGUGUCCGGCUGUGAGAGUACACGAAGAAAAAGCAUCGGCUAACUCCGUGCCAGCAGCCGCGGUAAUACGGAGGAUGCGAGCGUUAUCCGGAUUUAUUGGGUUUAAAGGGUGCGCAGGCGGGUUUUUAAGUCAGCGGUAAAAUCGUGGGGCUCAACCCCAUCCAGCCGUUGAAACUGGGGAUCUAGAGUGUGCGAGAGGUAUGCGGAAUGCGUGGUGUAGCGGUGAAAUGCAUAGAUAGCACGCAGAACCCCGAUUGCGAAGGCAGCAUACCGGUGCACAACUGACGCUCAGGCACGAAAGCGUGGGUAUCGAACAGGAUUAGAUACCCGUGUAGUC